Molecule: small RNA, 93 nt
Filed under: Flavobacterium saliperosum
Lineage: Bacteria; Pseudomonadati; Bacteroidota; Flavobacteriia; Flavobacteriales; Flavobacteriaceae
Description: Flavo-1 RNA
Source: RNAcentral
CGAUAGCUAUCGGGUGGAGCGGUAUCUUUUUUGUCUUUUCCAGUAACAAAAACGGAAAAGACAAAAAAGAUAUAGCGGAAAACGGGAACAUGG